ACUCGAGCGCGGGUUUGCCCGUGCGUGCGUCGAGGACGACGCUGCGCGAGCGGCGCUUGGCAUCAGGGGCCCGGAGAGGCUUUUCCUCUUGUCUCUAGUUUUGUUGUUUUAAACUCCCUACCGCGAAAAGCAAGCAAAAGGCCUGCGGAUAAGGGGGAACUAGAGGAGGAGUUUAAUAUAACCCUCCCUCGAGUGAGGGGCGAAGAUGGCCCAGGCUUCAGAGUGUGACAGCGAUGAAACGGUGAUUGAGGGGUCGGUGACAGAGAACGAACUGGAAGAUGAGGAGCUGCCCUGGAGAAGGUUGCUCUUGAAUCGAGACACGUCUUUUAAAUCUGAGUUCUGUCUUCAUUCUGGUGUAAAUGGAAUGUGGAAAGGCAUGCCCUCUCCAGAGAUCCAGCUUGGGCUCAGAUUUGGAAAGGACUCAGAAGAGCAAAAGAAUAAAAAUAAGGUGAUGCCGACUCUCAGUGAGGACCUGGUGUUGCAGGAUCCUCAAGAUGAAGCAACACAAAAUCAAGUUCUGUUACAAGAAGAAUUCCCAGCAUGCACUCUGCCGUUUCCUCACCCUGAAUUUUCAUGGAGCCACCGAAAGACCGGAGGUCCUGAAGCUGAAAAUGGUGAAAAUUUACCACGUCCAGGAAAGGAACUAAGUGAAAACACAGAUUCCCCUGAAAUUAGUCUUCUCUCUGGUACUUCACUUAUGGCAUCAGAUUUGGUUAUACCAAAGGAGAAAUCAUUAGAAAAGCCAGUGAAGACCUUAGCUGUACCAAAUACAUUUUUUGAGCCUGAACAGGAAGUAACACAGACCAUGACAUCUAAAGAAACCAAAGAUGAAGAAAGCUCUCUUGAAACAUUUGUGUCUGCUUUAGAAAGAUUACUAGAAUCACCAGAAGGCACCCAAGAAGAAACACUGCGUGAAACAGCGAAUGACUUCAAACUUGAAGAAUUGAUGAACCCAUUGAGUUCUGUGUCAGUCCCUUUGAAAGCCUUGCCAGCAUGUUGUAGAGAUGUACUAGAAAACACGAAGAGUGAUGAUGCAUUGCCUGCUGAAUUGCUGGCAACCAUCAACAUGCUACCAGGUGGCGAUGUAGAACCUGGACCUGUAGGACCCAUCUGUCGAGGACAAGAGAAAAGCAGCAGUGUUAGUGGUGGAAAUGGAUGUUUAGAAGUGCAGCCUACCGUGUCUAAGAUAGAUGAAGACUGCACACAAAUAGCACAGACUAUAGAAGACCCAAAACCAUUUAGAUUGCAGACAAAGACUCAUGAAAAUACCACGUCUUAUGAGCAACUAAAUGAUAAGGGAAAUUCAGAUACCGUGAAAAAUACCUCUGUCCAGGAAACACCCCAUGUACUCAGAAGAUCAUCUAGACUGGAAAAACUGAAAGCAAGCAGAGAUGUGGCACAUACAGAUGUGUUGAAAAUGCCAGAAAGUAUUACAUCAAAACCACUUAGUUAUGAGGAUCAAAUACAUAACAUAUUUGCAACUGAGAAUUUCAGAAUGCAGGGUUCAGUUUUAAAGACUGGCAGUAAGAGGAAGAAUAUGCAUUUAUCCAGAUUCAGGAGUGAACAGAGAAAGAAAAAUGAACAACUUAAAAUAAAAAAUGGAAAAAGGAAGAUGAAUAAAAUGUGUCUUUGUUGUAUAAAACGAAGAAACGUUUUUGGAGAGGAUUUACUAUAUAAAGCUGCUCUCCAUAAUGAUGUUGAUCUGGUUCGCUGUUGCAUAAAAAAUGGUGGAAAUCUCAAUCAGCCGAGUUAUGCUGCUCAAAGGAAGAGCACUGACCCAGCAUAUGUAGACGAUAUAUUCCAGUACAAGAAACCAAAAUUAAGUUCUAAUAAUCACACUGAGUUUAUUUGUGGUGAAAAUUCUAAUAGACAGGAACCAGAAUAUGUAGAAAUCAAUAAAGAAAGAAACAAUUUAUUUGUAAAUAAGGAAUAUGUAUAUGAACAUUGCCAGAAAAAUACCAUAGAAUUUGGAAAUUCCAAGCCUAGGCAAUCAACUAUUGACCAAAUAGACUCUACAGGGCUCAGAAGGAGCAGAGUCCACAGUGUGAAAGACAGCAGACCUAAUGUGUCUAAAAGUAAAAGGGGAAGAAAUACACAACAUAAAAAGACUCAAGAAGAUGACAAAGACUACAGUUUAAGUCAGGGAACAGCUAUUUCCUCUUCUAGGGGAAUGGGUAAAUUAGUCACUCAGCAGCAUCAUACCACUCUAACCCUUGAUGACCUUCCAAAAGAGUCUUGUGAACUUUCUACCCCAGCUCUACCAAGCUUGAAAAAUGGUGCAGAUAACAAUAAUGAGGCUUGUUUACAUUCCAAAAAGCCAAAUACCCACAACCUGGAUUUAUCAGAUAGUCAAAAAAUGCAGUUCUUAGACUUAGAGUCCAUUGAUCAAACUAAAGCUGUUUCCUUUUCUGAACUUUCAUUAUAUAAAGAAAUAAAAUUACCACAUGUAACUGCAGAUCAACAACCUCACACUAACCAAGAGCAAUGCAGUAGCCCAUGUAAGUCCCCUGAAAACCAUAGCACAGAUGAAAAAGGCAAGAACAUUAAUGAAUGGGAAGAUUCUUUCCUCUCCUUCAUAAAAGGACGCUUUGCUGACAGCGAUAGUGAUUGCCACAACUCUGUCAAGUCUGUGGCAUCUCGGGAAGAGUGCAUGGCCAUCUGUCCUAAUGAGGAAACCACAACAGAUGGAGAAGAAAUGAACUCUCCAUUGUUUUUAUCUUCUGAAAACUAUUCUUCACAGAAAAAUGAGCUAAAAGCAGGUGGCCUAACUACCUAUCCACAGGAGAAAGGUGUUAACUAUUGUUCUUUGAACAAUACAUUAAUUUAUGAACAACCUAUUCCAAAUCAUAAACAGUGUACAUAUGGGAUUUCUUUUGAUCACUCAUAUGCAAUUUCUGAGCACCAUUCUACGUCUUGUACACGACCACCUUCAAAACAGAAAGUUUCACAAUUGACUGGUCAAGUGGAGCUAUUAAAAGUGUUCCAGACUAAUUCCCACAGUGAGCCAACAGCCAAUACAUAUAAUGUGGAAAAGAAGCAAGACACUGAGAGGAAUUAUACCGUAGAAGACCAAAAACCAAGUUCUUCACAUAGUCCUUUACACACUCAUUCUCAAGUAAUAGAAGUAACUAAAGCUGAAGAAAGGAGACAAGACCUUCCAGAGAAUGAGCUCGUGAACAAUACAGAUUUUCAUUCCACUGACAAUGUGAAUAAAGAAUUGGCCAACUCUUCACACCUUGAUCAAGGAGAAGAGAAGGAAAUUGCUCACAAAUCAGAUGAGGAGUUCACUACUAAUGCCAGUAGAGCUGAAAGAACUGUGAGAAACUGCAGAGAGAAAGAGGAAAAUGUGGGUUCAGCAACUCACAUGCCUUGUGAUACCCAAGACCACAGAAGAGACCAGAAUUUCAGAGAAAGAAAAGGUUCCUUGAAAGCUCCCUGCAGCCAAGUUGCAGAAGUGAACACAGCUGGAAUCAGGAAGAGGAAUGCCAAAGGAGAGAGCCUGCUGCAUGUGGCUUCCAGAGGAGGAGACCUGUCCCUAGUGAAGGUUCUAAUAGCAUCUGGAGCAGACGUAAAUAUAAAAGAUAAUACAGGUUGGACACCCCUUCAUGAGGCAUCUAGUGAGGGAUUUAAUGAUGUAAUUGUUGAGCUAUUAAAAGCUGGUGCAAAUAUAAACUGUGAAAAUGUAGAUGGAAUGCUUCCUUUACAUGGCGCUGCUGUGGGGAAUCAUUUAAAGACAGCUGAGAUACUCCUAGAACAUGGAGCAAACCCUAAUCAGAAAGAUCAGAAACAGAGGACUGCUUUGGAGAAAGCAGAUGAUGAAAAAAUGAAAGACCUACUAAGAUCUUAUGGGGCUGUUGAAACCAGUCAUGGAGAUGAGAUCAGCUCUACAGUGGCUGUAAAACAUCCUGCUCUCCGCCCAAAAAGAUAUAAGCCAUGUCCUUGUGAUGAUGGAAAAGCCAUUGCUCCUCCUUCGUCCUUACACAAAGCGAAGAGAAGUGAAAACCUCCCUGCGCAUCAGACCAUCAGUGCUAUUUUACAAGACAUAGAAGAAAAACAAGAAAACUUAUUAAAGCUUGAAAUAAGAGACUCUGAAGAUGCAGAACAAUACAUUGGAAAGAUGUUAGAGAUAAAAGAAGUUAUGGAUGAUAUACUUGCUCAACAGAAGACAGAAAGGGAUGAUCUAGCUAAAAAAUACAGGGUAUCCAUGGAGUCAUUUAAGCAUGGAGCCCUGAGAGAACAACUGUCUAACUUGGCCACAAGACAAAAGAGGCUUUUAGUUGUGGCAAAGAAACAGAAAAAGAUAAGACUGAAAAUUCAAAACUAUAAGAAUUCCAAGCCAUUGUCUGGUAUUAGGAAGCGUACAUGUAGCUCAGACAUCUCUAGUGAGAAGAAGAGCCGAGAGUCUCCUAGUCUGAAAAACUCAGUAUAUCCCCAGUCAGACUUACUUUCACCUGUCAGUCUUGCUGCUAUUUCUCCUGUCAAUAGAAACAUGGAAGAAAUACCAUUGUCGAUGGAAAUGGAAAUAGAACUCUCUGGAAAUGAGAUGAAUUCUAAACAAAAUGUCCAGUAUUGUGCCUUGGAUGGACUAUUGAAAUCCAGACUCACAGAUGGCACUGAGAAAAGUGAAUUAUCAUCCCAGCCUGUUGCUUUUGUUCCUCAAGCAGGAAAUUCACAAGCAGAAAGUUUAACAGAAACUUUGGUCAAAGGCUAUGAACUUGAUGGUUCUCCUGCAGUAACUGGCACUGUAAGUAUUUCAGAAGAUAAAAGUAUGCUUUCCCAAAAUGAUGCCUGUCCACCAACUGUUCCUCAGAAUUUGGACCUUUCCUGUUGUAAUCCGAAAAGAAGAAACAAGAAAGCAGCUUCCGAUAAACCAUCUGUAGGAGCAUCAGAACCUCUGGCUCAUCAAGUGGUUACUGUCUUAGACACUGAUAUUGUGCAGCAUGCGAAUAGCGUUCCGAUCCCUCCUUCCUCUGGGUCUGCUCGUCAACAACCUAUUAAAAAGACGCCUCACCACAGCACAGCUCCUAAAAAGAAAAAUAUACAGCUGAAAGAUUUGCUUUUACGUGGAAGAAUUAAUACAGGAAAGGACAUUCUGGAAUUCAAAACACAGGAGACUACCCACAAAGCCAGUAUUUUACUGAAUGGUAAACUUAAGGUAGAAAACGGGCAGAUUUAUCAGAACCCAGUUACCUGGCUCAAGGAUCUUCUGGGAGGUGGCAAUUAUGUGACCUGGAAUUAUGCUUGGAGUAAGGUAACAUACCUGGGAAAGGAGCUUUUGAAGUAUGUUUCUGAAGAAGAGCCUGUUCCUCCAGAGCCAUGUAACACACCUCAGCAGCAACAGCCUUGCCUUCCAGGUACAUGUAGCACAAUACCUAUUUUGUAGUCGUGACAUGUGAGUAUCCAGACUUACAGGAAAAGUCCUACUUCUUUCUCCCCAAUUUUAACAUAAAAAUCAAAUGGUACUUAGUAUAUUCACAGUGCGAGCAACCACUGCCUCUGUGUAGUUUCAGAACACUGUUGUGGUCUCCAAAGACUCCUCUUCCAAGUCAGCAGUUACUCCCCAUCCUCUACAUCCCACAUCCCUAGGAGCUGCUUUCUAUGAAUGGAUGUGUUAUUCUAAAUGUUUUAUAAAGUGGAAUAAUGCACCAUGGCGUGACAUCUUCUCAAGUCAUUUUUAUAACACACAUCACACCCACAGCUAUUUCUAGGAAAGUCCAGCAAACCUUUCUCCUCCUACUUUCUAACCUGGAAAUCAAAAAAGAGCUAGCUGUAUAUUUUUGUUUAUAUCAUGAUGGCCAUCUGCUUCUCAUUUGUUCCCCUAUUUCUUAUAAUAUAAACAAUUUCUUACUAUUAAUUUCUUUCCAAAAAUCCUGAUUUUCUUUACUUCAGAUACUUUCAGAAAUGUGUAUGCUAAUUUGAAAGCUGUAGAUGUACCAGCAGGGCAUCCAACUUUUCUCUAAUUGAUAUAAGCCUGUAAAAUCACAGACAGGCCCUUAAGAGAUGCAAUAGGCUGUUGUUGGAGUUGCAUUUUAAUUUUCUUGUUUAUUGAUUUUAUUGAGCUAUACAUUUGCUUCCCUCCUUUCUUCUCCCCUCCCCUCCCCUCCAACCCUCUCCCAUGGUUAGGAUUUUUGUGUCCCUAUUUUAUACCUGACAGUAUAAGUUAAAAAAUAUAAAAUGCUUUAACCCAACUGCAAGAGAAACAUUCAAGAGAGAAUAUUUCUCUUUUCUUACACAUUAAGUUAGGGAAAUAAAGACUUGUCUUUGACAUGGUAGAGACCAGACCAACCCAUGUGGGGACUUCAUGAGCCCACCCCAGAUCAUAAGCACAAUCUGUUCUCUUAUGUUUCCAGUGACCAUUCUUCAAAGAGUGUUUUUAGGAGAAAUGAGGAAAAGGGGAGUUAGAAAGAGCAUUUUACACCUCUUACAGCUAGGACAGCUGUUGGUGGUUGUUUUGCUCUUCUUACCCUUUUGGGUUUUUUUGGGGGGGGCAGCAACCAGCCCCCAAGUAAAUCACACGUGGAGUCUUAUUCUUUCUUAUAAAUGCCCAGCCUAAGCUUGGCUUAUUCCAGACCAGCUUUUCUUAACUUAAAUCCCCCAUCUGUCUUUGCCUCGGGGCGCGCACCUCUCCCUUCUGUGCGUCCCGCUCUCUCACUCUCACUCUGUGGCCAGCUGGGCGGCUGCCCCUUCUUUCCUUGCUGCUUGAUGACUCUUUCUUCUCCUAUGUCUGUUCUCUCUGCCUGCCAGCCCCGCCUAUCAUUUCUUCCUGCCUCGCUGUUGGCCCUUCAGCUCUUUAUUAGACCAUCAGGUAUUUUAGGCAGGCAAAGAAUCACAGCUUCACAGAGUUAAACAAUGCAACAUAAAAGAAUGCAACACAUCUUUGCAUCAUUAAACAGAUAUUCCACAGCAUAAACAAAUGUAUGACAUCUUAAAAGAAUAUUCCACGACAGAUGGUCAUGUAUUUAGGUUUGACCAAAGCAAUAUCUAAGCCACAAAAACUAUUAUAGAAGUGUAUUGCUUCAAUGACUCAGUAUAAAAGCCAAGUAAACUGCUGUUUAAGAAAAUAAAACCUGGAAGAAGGGAAGCUGAGACUGUUUUCACCUCUUUUAUAAGUAGUGUAUAUAGACCUUAAAACACUGCAAAUAGAGAAUCAAACCUUAUGCCUGUCAUUCUCAUUAUCAGUCAUUGCUGACUGCUUAGCUUUAUCCUUCUGAGAGAUUGAAGAGGCCUUUGAGUUCACAAAGAUUUUUAUAGGCUCUUAUUUCAUCUACUCCCCAAUGUUUACCACACCUUAGCUUCCAAUAAAUAUCCAUUAAUUAAUAUUCAUUGAAUGUAUGAAUAGAUGAAUGUACGCAUGAAUAUAAUCCAAAGAACUCUUCGAGUUGGAUGAUCUUAAUAAGUAGGCGUGUCAAGAUCUCAAAGACUAUAAUAGAAUUUGAAGGAAUUCAACAAAUGAAACACCAUCGUACUAUGGACACAUCAAGGUAUUAAGUCUUUCCUUAGUUCGGAAUCCUGGUGAUUGAAUUCUCUCUAGAAACUAUAACCAACACACUUUGGAUAACUCUUCAUCCUGUCAAGGUCAUGGUGAACACCAAGCAUCCUGCGACCUGUUGAAAUAAUUGUUGAUCCUUUGUCAUGGGAAGAAUUUGGUUUGUCUCUGGUUCCUGGCACAGAACUCCUUCCUUAAGCCUUUGGAAUUUCCCAAAUGAAAAGGAUGAUGCUGAUGUCUUUUUCUGAGAUGGAUCGUGACUGGCUCCUGGAUAGCAUCAAGAGAGGAGCUGAUCUUCAGAGAGACCAAGCUUUGAUUGGAGACUUAGAUCCUUCAACUCUGUCUUCAGGCUUUAUGAAAGAGAAGAGCUAAUAUUGAGUUAACCACUAGUGGCCAGUGAUUUAACCAGUUACUCUAGGCUUGUGAAAAAGUAGGUAUGCGAAAGCAGGAACAUGGGGUAACCCCUUUUACUUCAUGGCUAGCAUGGCCAAGAAGCAAAAAAGAGAGGAGGUAUGGUCCUGCAGUAUCCAGGGGCAUGUCUUCAGCAUCCUAAGAACCUUACUUAAUGUAGGCCCCACUUUUCAGAGGUUUCACCACCACCUCUCAACACUAUUACGCAGAGUCAGACUGUCAACAUAAAGGCCUGUGGAAGACGUUCAAGAGUCAAACUGCAAGAGCCAUCGAGUUGUUGUGAGACAGUUGGUCAGUUGAUAGGAGGGAAAAAUAACAAAAGUCAAAAUGUCAAAAAUGCUGGGAGUAAAUAGAGCUCUUAGAAUGAAAUACAUCUACAGGUCUAAUAUGGUGUUUUCCAUUUCGAACCAGACUAAGUCAAGUUUCGUUCCAAAAUCCUAAUGAAAUGUAGUGCUUAGCUCAUAAGGCCAAGUCCUAGAAGUCUGAGUUAAACUUCACCACAUGCAAAUAUGAACUUGGGGCCUGGUAUACAGCUAAUAAAUAUAAGAAUUAGAGAGGUAAAAUAGGUUAAAUGAAAAGAACUGAUAGAUUAGUGAGAUUUCAGAAGUAAGCUGAGUUGGAAAAACAAAUCUGAUGAUUUUUAUUUUUGUUCUAUUAAGUGAAAAAAAUUAAAACGUGGGGGAAAAGCCAAAAAAUAAAAAUUACUUUCAACCUAACCAAAUUAACGUAUUUGCUGAAGUACUAAUUCUGGUAACUAGCUAACAUGAAAGUUGCCUUAAUAUUAUUUUGCCUAGUUAGUGAACCUAGCAAUUCAGUUUGAAUAUAGUUGUAGAAUAGAUAGCAUCUGGUACUGUUACCUGAGGAAGAUUUAUUUCUCCCCACCCCAUUCAUGGACGUAACAGGCCCUGGCCUACACAGUCCGUGUUGGAAAGGGAGCAUAACAAGAUUAUUAAGCAUUCACUUCCAUGUGCUACUGUUUGUUUAUAGACCUCAGAUGCCAAGAAUCCUGUUAAGAAUUACACCUCAGUAAAAAUGCAAAUUAAAGGAUAAGGUGUUUCUACCUAUCAA
RNA transcript from Arvicola amphibius (Eurasian water vole), 8965 nucleotides. It is a transcript of the gene named ankyrin repeat domain 31, with no coding region annotated. The transcript is spliced from 23 exons. The record is from RefSeq and is a predicted model, not a curated record. Lineage: Eukaryota; Metazoa; Chordata; Mammalia; Rodentia; Cricetidae.